This 253-nucleotide ribosomal RNA is filed under the name uncultured bacterium. RNAcentral's name for it is "partial 16S ribosomal RNA". It matches the Rfam family "Bacterial small subunit ribosomal RNA", at positions 524 to 776 of the family's 1533-position model. The record is from RNAcentral.
UACGUAGGGUGCGAGCGUUAAUCGGAAUUACUGGGCGUAAAGCGUGCGCAGGCGGUUUUGUAAGCCCGAUGUGAAAGCCCCGGGCUCAACCUGGGAAUGGCAUUUGGGACUGCAAGGCUUGAGUGCGGCAGAGGAGACUGGAAUUCCUGGUGUAGCAGUGAAAUGCGUAGAUAUCAGGAGGAACACCGAUGGCGAAGGCAGGUCUCUGGGCCAUAACUGACGCUGAGAAGCGAAAGCAUGGGGAGCGAACAGG